AGCUUUGCCCAGUGGCAGUAUUGUAGCCAAUGAGGUUUAUCCAAGGCGCAAUUAUUGCUAAUUGAAGACUUUUCCCAAUAUAGUCUUCAAUUAGCAAUAAUUGGAAAUAUAGUUGGCAUUGGCAAUUUUUGGCAGUCUCUAUGGGGA
Cebus imitator (Panamanian white-faced capuchin) is the source of this 147-nucleotide small nuclear RNA. Its record names the gene U4. It matches the Rfam family "U4 spliceosomal RNA". From Rfam's summary of the family: U4 small nuclear RNA (U4 snRNA) is a component of the major U2-dependent spliceosome. The structure of U4 snRNA from yeast and human has been reported. The record is from Ensembl. NCBI's taxonomy places the organism in Eukaryota, Metazoa, Chordata, Mammalia, Primates, Cebidae.